GGAAAAACUGCACUCAGUGGUGAAGCAUCUACCUAGCAUGCAGAAGGUCCUGGGGUUCAAUCCCUGGCAUCUCCA
Molecule: non-coding RNA, 75 nt
Organism: Podarcis lilfordi (Lilford's wall lizard)
Lineage: Eukaryota; Metazoa; Chordata; Lepidosauria; Squamata; Lacertidae
Source: the annotation of a GenBank genome assembly